This 254-nucleotide ribosomal RNA is filed under the name uncultured bacterium. RNAcentral describes it as "partial 16S ribosomal RNA". It matches the Rfam family "Bacterial small subunit ribosomal RNA", at positions 524 to 776 of the family's 1533-position model. The record is from RNAcentral.
GACGAACCGAGCGAACGUUAUUCGGAAUCAUUGGGCGUAAAGAGCGUGUAGGCGGCCCGAUAAGUCCGCUGUGAAAGUCCAGGGCUCAACCCUGGAAUGCCAGUGGAAACUGUCGGGCUAGAGUCCAGAAGAGGCGAGUGGAAUUCCUGGUGUAGCGGUGAAAUGCGCAGAUAUCAGGAGGAACACCAAUGGCGAAGGCAGCUCGCUGGGACGGUUACUGACGCUGAGACGCGAAAGCGUGGGGAGCGAACAGG